RNAcentral lists this ribosomal RNA (459 nucleotides) under uncultured bacterium. RNAcentral describes it as "partial 16S ribosomal RNA". It matches the Rfam family "Bacterial small subunit ribosomal RNA", at positions 338 to 795 of the family's 1533-position model. The record is from RNAcentral.
CCUACGGGUGGCAGCAGUGAGGAAUAUUGGUCAAUGGGCGGGAGCCUGAACCAGCCAAGUCGCGUGAGGGACGACGGUCCUAUGGAUUGUAAACCUCUUUUGUCGGGGAACAAAGGCGCCCACGGGUGGGCGGAUGAGUGUACCCGAAGAAAAAGCAUCGGCUAACUCCGUGCCAGCAGCCGCGGUAAUACGGAGGAUGCGAGCGUUAUCCGGAUUUAUUGGGUUUAAAGGGUGGGUAGGCGGACAGUCAAGUCAGCGGUAAAAAUGCGGUGCUAAACGCCGUACAGCCGUUGAAACUGGCAGUCUUGAGUACAGUAGAGGUGGGCGGAAGUCGUGGUGUAGCGGUGCAAUGCUUAGAUAUCACGAAGAACUCCGAUUGCGAAGGCAGCUCACUGGACUGCAACUGACACUGAGGCUCGAAAGUGUGGGUAUCAAACAGGAUUAGAUACCCUAGUAGUC